Molecule: ribosomal RNA, 457 nt
Filed under: uncultured bacterium
Lineage: Bacteria
Description: partial 16S ribosomal RNA
Rfam family: Bacterial small subunit ribosomal RNA
Source: RNAcentral
CCUACGGGUGGCUGCAGUGGGGAAUAUUGCACAAUGGGGGAAACCCUGAUGCAGCGACGCCGCGUGAGUGAAGAAGUAUUUCGGAACGUAAAGCUCUAUCAGCAGGGAAGAAAAUAAGUCCUUUUGACGUAGGACCGUACCUGACCACGAAGCCCCGGCUAACUACGUGCCAGCAGACGCGGUAAUACGUAGGGGUCAAGCGUUAUCCGGAUUUACUGGGUGGAAAGGGAGCGCAGACGGCAGCACAAGUCUGGAGUGAAAUGCCGGGGCCCAACCCCGGAACUGCUUUGGAAACUGUGCGGCUGGAGUGCAGGAGAGGUAAGCGGAAUUCCUGGUGUAGGGGUAAAAUGCGUAGAUAUUAAGAGGAACACCAGUGGCGAAGGCGGCUUACUGGACUGUAACUGACGUUGAUGCGCGAAAGCGUGGGGAGCAAACAGGAUUAGAUACCCCUGUAGUC